CGCCUUCUGCAACCCAUAGAAGGUCCAGCCUGCCCAGUGACAAACUUAAACGGCCGCGGUACUCUGACCGCGCAAAGGUAGCACAAUCACCUGUCCUCUAAAUAAGGACUAGUAUGAACGGCACCACGAGGGUUCUACUGUCUCCCCCCCUUAAUCAGUGAAACUAAUUUCCCCGUGAAGAAGCGGGGAUAAGCCCAUAAGACGAGAAGACCCCAUGGAGCUUCAAACUAAGUACCACCUGCAUAACCUCACACCAUUGUAACCCAGCAGACUUCCCCUACUAGUUUUUGGUUGGGGCAACCGCGGGGCACAGCAAAACCCCCGUGACGAAAGGACCUCCUCCUAAUCAAAGGACCACCACCCACAGAAUCAACACAUUGACCCAAUUGACCCACCACCCUGAGCAACGAACCAAGUUACCCUGGGGAUAACAGCGCAAUCUAUUUCCAGAGCCCUUAUCGACAAAUAGGUUUACGACCUCGAUGUUGGAUCCAGGUAUCCCAGUGGUGCAGCCGCUACUAAAGGUUCGUUUGUUCAACGAUUAAAACCUC
RNAcentral lists this ribosomal RNA (551 nucleotides) under Oreophryne sp. FB-2007. Its description in RNAcentral is "partial 16S ribosomal RNA". It matches the Rfam family "Bacterial large subunit ribosomal RNA", at positions 1817 to 2597 of the family's 2925-position model. The record is from RNAcentral. Lineage: Eukaryota; Metazoa; Chordata; Amphibia; Anura; Microhylidae.